AACUUUUAAGACCACUGGCAUAAUGACAAAUUAUUAGAAUUAGGUUUUGUGCUCUGUUUCCUUUAAAUAUUAAAAGGUAUAUUUUUUCUAUAAGAUAGCUUAGUGAUACUCAUAAAACUCCCAAAGGCCCCCAAAGAAAUCUGAGAAACUGUCACAGAUCAGAGAAGAGCAAAGAGAUAGAAUGUCUACUUGUAAUGUGUUAUUCUGGGUGGGAUCCUGGAACAGAAACAGAACACUGGUUGGAAAACUAAGGAAAUCUAAGUUGAUUUAAUGGUAAUAUACCAGUGUCAAUUUUCUAGGUGUUUUCUUUGAUAAUGUAAGAUGCUCCAAUAGGGGAAGAUGGGUAAAAAGUACUGGGGAACAAUUUUUCCAACUUUAUUCAAAAUCUAAAGCUAAUCUAAAAAAUUUCAAAAACUUUUUAAAAAUAUUUACAUCAAAUCCCAAGAAGAGAAAAGGAAGGAAAACAAAAUGAAACAAAAAACAACCAGAGAAUUCAAUGCCUGUAGGGAAAACUUGAGAAAAUUCUAAAUAUUUCUUCCUAUUAUCAAGUGGUAAAUCACUGUUAAGAUUGCCCUGUAUCUUUAGAGAUUUCCAGUAGAUUUUACUAUUCUAACAUAUGCUCAUUAGUGUUUCUUCCUGCAGGAAGAGAUUUGCCUUUGGUAACCAUAUGUUAAAUAGAAAAUUUAAAAAGCCAUGUUUCUCCCAAAAAACAAAGAGUACUGCAUUGCCAAACAGUGGAGUACUGGUUCCAGAUGACUCCUCUUUUGAGGAUCUUUUGCACUCCCAGCCUAUAAUAGUUACUAACUGGAUAUUUUAGGGGUUAUUUCAGUAAAUUAGGCAUGAAUAUUCAAGAUAAUUGUUUCAAUUAUCCAUUUCACUUUUGUUUCUACACAUGCAUUGUGUUUGGUUUUGUUUUACUAUAGCAUCCUAAGUACUAAGUCAUUAUGCAAACAUUUCCAAACACUCAGAAUUUUUAUAUGUUCUGUUCCAUUCCCAAGUGAAAAGAAACAAUCCUCAUUUAAUCAGUACAGUGACAAGUGCAAAGGGUGUGUACUUGUGUGUGUGUGUGUUUGUGUGUGUUUAAGUGUGUGCGACAGAGAGAGAGACAUGUGUUAUUGGUAUAGGAGAUUAUAAUUCAACUUCAGGGAGACAAUUGCUUAAUUAAUUUGAACUUCACUCCUUAAUCUUUGUUGUAUUUGCUUGUUCAUUUAAAUUAAAUUCAUAAAUAUGAUAUGUUUUAUUAUUUAUCAGUAUUAUAUGAGUAAAUUUAACUAUUCCUGAAUAUCAUGAAGGGACUAGUCCAAUAUACAGUUUUCUCUAUAUUUAUAACUAUAUCUUCUUUUUAGAUAUAGUUUUCCGGCACCACUGAGAGAGUUAUAUUUCAUGUGCACACACACAAAAAUUGUAUUUGCCCCCAUUAAUUUCUAUGAUAAUAUGUUAAAUGUAAUAAUUUUCAUCUUCAUUUUGGUUAAAGCUCAAAGGGCAAAUACAAAACUGCAAGUGAUAAACACCCAUAUGUCCCAAAUAAAGGCUUUGGAUUUGGAAAGGGGACCUUGAAGACUGGUUUUGUAGAUAAUCACCUGCUUGAAGGAUUGGAAUUCAAGUGAUCUAGAGAUGAAGCAGGGAAUUUCUUUUUUUCCCCCAUGUUUUCUUUUGCUUUUCAAAAUACACUAAACACUUUAUUCAUAUGGAAUAGCUAAGAAAUAAGGUGAGAAAAUUUGGCACAACAUAUAAACUCUACCAUAACACCUAAAGAUAAGAUGGAUUCUUUCCUUUUCAAGAACAUUGUGGUUUCUAAAUAGUUCUUUUUGAAUAUUUUUACUUGUGCUUUUUAACUAUGCAUAAUAGUGAGAUUCACUAUGCCAUAUUCAUAUGAGAAUCCAGCCUCUACCUCAGAGCAAAGCUUGUCCAAGGAAGGGGGCAUGACCCUUGUCCUUGGAAAGACCCACAGAGCACUCCUAGGCACAUACCCACCCUGCUGAGUUGUUUAUCUACAAAUAACAGGAGAGAUCUGCAGCACCAGGUGUCCCUGAUUCAGUCAGACUAGGUGAGGACCCAUAGCAACCUCCUAGCAACCACCAAUCAGCAUGAGACAGGGAAAAUACCUGGGAUGCCAGAUGACCCUCCCAGUAGUUUAUGGUGGUUGAUAACAUGAAAUCAUGUAGUUUAGCACGUACUCCCCUGUGGCUUAAACCAAUCAGUUCAAAGGAAUCCCCCUAUUGUACUAACCAAUCAUCCUUACCCAACUUGUUCCCUCCACAAUGUUCUUGAAAAGGAAUGUGCUAAUCUUGUUUUAGAGUUGUUUUAUGAUUUUCCCACAGUGUGCUGAUUUGCUAAGAGAUGCUAUGAUGUAUGUGAAGUCCCUGCCUUCCCCAAAGAGUGUACAAAACUGCUGCAAACCCUGGGCUCGGGGCCUCUCAGCAUCACCAGUUGCUGUGUGUGCAUGGAGGACCAAGCUAGUUUGCAAUAAACACCUCUUUGCUGCUUCCAUCCAUCUUGGUCUCUGGUGGGCUUUUGGGGGUCCCGAAUUUGAGCAUAACACAUACACGCACAUACCAUAAUUUGAUCAACCUCAUUCCCCAGUACCUUCCCUUUCCCGUCCUUCCUCCUUACACCUGAUCCACUGGCUCUACUCUACAGAUUUCCAUCUAUUAGCAUU
RNAcentral lists this long non-coding RNA (2659 nucleotides) under Marmota monax (woodchuck). The record is from RNAcentral. Lineage: Eukaryota; Metazoa; Chordata; Mammalia; Rodentia; Sciuridae.